GCCGAGGUGGCGGAAUGGUAUACGCGCACGACUCAAAAUCGUGUGGGGAAACCCAUGAGGGUUCGAGUCCCUCUCUCGGCA
Molecule: transfer RNA, 81 nt
Filed under: Parcubacteria group bacterium
Lineage: Bacteria
Description: tRNA-Leu
Rfam family: tRNA
About the family: Transfer RNA (tRNA) molecules are approximately 80 nucleotides in length.
Source: RNAcentral